UGGAGGAGCCCGUAUUAGCAACUGCAUGCAGGACCGAGGCAGAUUUUGUGGGAUGAACAGAAUUCUUGUGGGCUGAGUGUUUUUCAAAACUUCUCUCCAAGAAUGCCUGCGACUUAAACAUUUCUUUACUAAAAGGGGAGGAGGAAUAGAAUGAUUUGCAAUGUUGAAAAAAAAAUGUUUUUCCCCUCUAGUUCUCCCCUUCCCUCCACCUUCUCUCAUAGAGGAGCAGAAGAAACCAGUGGCAAGUUGCAUGUGUCUGGAGCUACAGUGCUAUAAAUAAGUUUCUGUUCUUGUGGCAAGAACUGGCUGAGUCUUGAAAUGGAGGUUCCAGGUACCCUGAGGGGUUGCUCAGCCUCCCUGGUGUCCUUCAGGACAUGAAAGACCUCCAGGCCUGCAUGCUCUGAAGAUUCAGAAUAUUUAGAGAUCGGCAGAUGGUUAGUUGAAUUUUUUUUUACCUUUUGGGGGAAUG
This is a long non-coding RNA of Bubalus bubalis (water buffalo), 469 nucleotides long. RefSeq lists it as uncharacterized. NCBI's taxonomy places the organism in Eukaryota, Metazoa, Chordata, Mammalia, Artiodactyla, Bovidae. The transcript has 3 exons. The record is from RefSeq and is a predicted model, not a curated record.